CACGUUGUCCCGAUCUUCACGACGUAGGAUGAACACCGAUAACUAGCUGAAGAAUAGCCGGAUAACUUGCUGCAAGCAGCGAUAACUAGUGCAACCUGGCAAAUAAAACUCGAAGCCAACCACCGUCUUUAACCGGCAACCUGAAUCGAGGAUUCGCCCAACCACACUCUCAAGGAACCAACCAACACAGCCUACAAUCAAUCAAGGAAUACCUUGAAGGGAGUAGGAGCACCAAUUGGGAGCGGAUGAAGCCGCCGCCUAUGUAAUCCCGCGAGGAAAUCACAAGAGCAAAGGGGUAGAGAUCACUCUCUGAAUUUGUUAGCACGCAGCUGAACAAAGGGGUUCUGUAUUUCAAUUAUCAAAGUCUUAGAUUACAAUGAGUCUUAGGGGGUAUUUAUACUAGCAACAGCCCUGCUAGAUAGGUAUGAAAACGAAAUAGAGUUUCUGAGGGAAGGCAAUG
RNAcentral lists this long non-coding RNA (460 nucleotides) under Sorghum bicolor (sorghum). RNAcentral's name for it is "long non-coding RNA (SBIC_LNC006499)". Lineage: Eukaryota; Viridiplantae; Streptophyta; Magnoliopsida; Poales; Poaceae. The record is from RNAcentral.